UGUAACCUACGGGGGGCAGCAGUAGGGAAUAUUGCUCAAUGGGGGAAACCCUGAAGCAGCGACGCCGCGUGGGUGAAGAAGCGCCUCGGCGCGUAAAGCCCUGUCAGCAGGGAAGAAAAUGACGGUACCUGAAGAAGAAGCCCCGGCUAACUACGUGCCAGCAGCCGCGGUAAUACGUAGGGGGCAAGCGUUAUCCGGAUUUACUGGGUGUAAAGGGGGCGCAGACGGCGAUGCAAGCCAGGAGUGAAAGCCCGGGGCCCAACCCCGUGACUGCUCUUGGAACUGCGUGGCUAGAGU
This 297-nucleotide ribosomal RNA is filed under the name uncultured bacterium. RNAcentral describes it as "partial 16S ribosomal RNA". It matches the Rfam family "Bacterial small subunit ribosomal RNA", at positions 333 to 647 of the family's 1533-position model. The record is from RNAcentral.